GGUGAGUAACACGUGGGCAACCUGCCUGUAAGACUGGGAUAACUUCGGGAAACCGGAGCUAAUACCGGAUAAUCCAUUCCCUCUCAUGAGGGAAUGCUGAAAGACGGCAUCUCGCUGUCACUUACAGAUGGGCCCGCGGCGCAUUAGCUAGUUGGGGAGGUAACGGCUCACCAAGGCCACGAUGCGUAGCCAACCUGAGAGGG
RNAcentral lists this ribosomal RNA (203 nucleotides) under Mesobacillus foraminis. RNAcentral describes it as "partial 16S ribosomal RNA". It matches the Rfam family "Bacterial small subunit ribosomal RNA", at positions 105 to 300 of the family's 1533-position model. The record is from RNAcentral. Lineage: Bacteria; Bacillati; Bacillota; Bacilli; Caryophanales; Bacillaceae.